This 479-nucleotide ribosomal RNA is filed under the name uncultured bacterium. RNAcentral describes it as "bacterial SSU rRNA". It matches the Rfam family "Bacterial small subunit ribosomal RNA", at positions 25 to 507 of the family's 1533-position model. The record is from RNAcentral.
CAGAUUGAACGCUGGCGGCAUGCCUUACACAUGCAAGUCGAACGGUAACAGGGUUAAGCUGACGAGUGGCGAACGGGUGAGUAAUAUAUCGGAACGUGCCCAGUCGUGGGGGAUAACGUAGCGAAAGCUACGCUAAUACCGCAUACGAUCUAUGGAUGAAAGCGGGGAUCGCAAGACCUCGCGCGAUUGGAGCGGCCGAUAUCAGAUUAGGUAGUUGGUGAGGUAAAGGCUCACCAAGCCGACGAUCUGUAGCUGGUCUGAGAGGACGACCAGCCACACUGGGACUGAGACACGGCCCAGACUCCUACGGGAGGCAGCAGUGGGGAAUUUUGGACAAUGGGCGCAAGCCUGAUCCAGCAAUGCCGCGUGCAGGAUGAAGGCCUUCGGGUUGUAAACUGCUUUGUACGGAACGAAACGGUGAGCUCUAAUACAGUUUGCUAAUGACGGUACCGUAAGAAUAAGCACCGGCUAACUACGUG